Molecule: unclassified non-coding RNA, 332 nt
Filed under: soil metagenome
Description: partial contains 5.8S ribosomal RNA, internal transcribed spacer 2, and large subunit ribosomal RNA
Rfam family: 5.8S ribosomal RNA (bases 1-120)
Source: RNAcentral
GAUGAAGAACGUAGCGAAAUGCGAUAAGUAAUGCGAAUUGCAGAAUCCGUGAGUCAUCGAAUCUUUGAACGCACAUUGCGCCCCUUGGUUAUUCCGAAGGGCAUGCCUGUUCGAGCGUCAUUUAAACCUUCAAGCUCAGCUUGGUGUUGGGUGACUGUCCGCUUCACCGCGGACUCGCCUCAAAAUUAUUGGCGGCCGGUACAUUGGCUUCGAGCGCAGCAGAAACGCGAACUCGGGCCCGUCGUAUUGGCUCCCAGAAGCUAUCUUCACAAUUUUGACCUCGGAUCAGGUAGGGAUACCCGCUGAACUUAAGCAUAUCAAUAAGCGGAGGA